AGUGAACGCUGGCGGUAGGCCUAACACAUGCAAGUCGAACGGCAGCACAGUAAGAGCUUGCUCUUACGGGUGGCGAGUGGCGGACGGGUGAGGAAUACAUCGGAAUCUACUUUUUCGUGGGGGAUAACGUAGGGAAACUUACGCUAAUACCGCAUACGACCUACGGGUGAAAGCAGGGGAUCUUCGGACCUUGCGCAAUUGAAUGAGCCGAUGUCGGAUUAGCUAGUUGGCGGGGUAAAGGCCCACCAAGGCGACGAUCCGUAGCUGGUCUGAGAGGAUGAACCCCCACACAGGAACUGGGACACGGCCCAGCCUCCUAGGGGAGGCAGAAGGGGGAAAUUUGGGAAAAGGGGGGCAACCGUGAACCAGCCAACCCGGGGGGGUGAAGAAGGCCUUCGGGUUGUAAAGCCCUUUUGUGGGGAAAAAAAAGAAGCAGGUUAAUCCCCCGCUUUUCUGAGGGAACCAAAAAAAAAAGCCCGGGCAAAUUUGGU
Molecule: ribosomal RNA, 491 nt
Filed under: uncultured bacterium
Lineage: Bacteria
Description: partial 16S ribosomal RNA
Rfam family: Bacterial small subunit ribosomal RNA
Source: RNAcentral